CGUGAACAACAUGGCUGCCUCCAAAAGCAGUGUUAGCGACGGAUCACCCAUUCGACAAGCCAGAUAGACAAUGCACGUCCUGACACAUAUUACAGGGACUCACAAAGUCACAUGAACCAGGCAAGGGGGUUACUGGAGUCAGAGGAUUCCAUAAAGUCAAUGAAGAAAGGCUCAGUGGACUUGUGAGACUGGGAAAGAGUACAAAAACAAAUUUGUGAAGUGCAAAUUCUCAGUCAACUGUUGAUGUCAGCAUGUCUGUACAGAAAAAUAAUGCAAUUAAAAUGCUGAAUUAUUUUAACAGGAAAAAAUUAAAA
This is a long non-coding RNA of Saccoglossus kowalevskii, 314 nucleotides long. Lineage: Eukaryota; Metazoa; Hemichordata; Enteropneusta; Harrimaniidae. The record is from RefSeq and is a predicted model, not a curated record.